RNAcentral lists this long non-coding RNA (1432 nucleotides) under Betta splendens (Siamese fighting fish). RNAcentral's name for it is "lncRNA (ENSBSLG00000004836.1)". Lineage: Eukaryota; Metazoa; Chordata; Actinopteri; Anabantiformes; Osphronemidae. The record is from RNAcentral.
UUUCACGUUGUAAAUCCAAGCACAUAGCGGUGGAACAUUGUAACAGUGGAUGUCACUCAUAGACUCAUAGGAACAUGUUUGCCCUGUUCAAACCUGGGGAAUAAAAACGAUUCUGAUUCUGAAAGCAGCUGAUCAACUUUAUAGGAACACAUUUCAUAUGGUAGAGGUGAAAGGGACGCUAACAACCCAAAGCAGCCGAGGCUGUAGCAGGCAGAGAAACGCAGAUCUUUGUCCUGCGUGUUGAUGCGUGUUUCCCCUUCCCCCAGUGUCACCGCUCUGGGACGUGGAUGGCCACGCCCACUUUCAUUUACCAGACGGACCUGAAAGAGGGAAUAACGAAAUAAACAGCUGGUUAACUUCGUAGGAACACGGCUGUAGCUCUGCAAAGACUUUAUGUGGUACAGGUGAAAGGAGUAAUAACGAAAUAAACGGAAUAUAAAACGGAAACGCUUUCAAGCGUUUUCUGUUCACCCAAACUUGAUGGGUGUACUGUCAUCUUUUCAGUAAUUUUUAGCAUUUGCAUGUUGUUGUAUAUGUAACAUAGUUAAAGUGUAUGCUGGUUAAAUCCAGGGGCAUCCAAUAAAAAGGGCAAUUCGCCACCUGCUGGUAAAGUGUUGUAUUUAAUACCAAAUGUAUGUACAAGGGAUUAUGGGUAAUCUUCAGAAGCGCGAAGGAUUUCCCCAGAGGUAACGUGCCUGUGAAUGUGCCCGUGGGCAAAGUGUGUAAACUUUAUAAAAAAUAUAUGUAUGAAAGUUUUACCGGUACUAUGAGGCUGAUGGUAGCUGUAUGUUAAUUGUGUUCGCCAUGGUUUUGUUAACUUAUGAACCAUUUUGGCUGUGUUUGGGCUUAAAAUGUUGAAGCUUUAAGCUAGCUAGCUAGCUAACUCUAGUGGUGCUGUCUCUCCAGACGGAGCGUGUACAAGCAGAGUGCCCACAGCACAUGAUCCUGUUUUGCCUUUUUCCCUUUUCCCUUGUGAAACUACAGACAGUUGUGAACUAUGUAUGGAUAAUCUGGAGAAGCGCGAAGGAUUUCCCCAGAGACGGAGCGUGUACAAGCAGAGUGCCCACAGCACAUGAUCCUGUUUUGCCUUUUUCCCUUUUCCCUUGUGAAACUACAGUUGCUGAAUAAACCUGCUGUUACCAACAUCUAGAGCAGCUCCGAGUGGUCAUUCACAAAGCAAAGAAAAAAGACAGACAGAAGACAUGACAUCAGAGGUCACAUAUAUGAAUAACAAAAUUAACAAAAUCUACGUUUGAAAAAAACUUUGAAGAGUUCCGUGUCUACAUGAAAGCGGGCAGAACAACGUCCGUCUAUGACUCACUGCCGAAAGCGGCUGGUGAAACAUGGCUGUAGCUCUACAAUGACUUAUUAUGUGGUACAGGUGAAAGGGGAAAUAACGAAAUAAACGGAAUAUAAAACCGAAACGCUUUCA